AUUGAGUCUCACUCUGUCGCCCAGGCUGGAGUACAGUGGUGCUCUCUUGGUUCACUGCUUCCUCGCCCCCCACCCCAGGUUCAAGUGAUUCUCCUGCCUCAGCCUCCUGAGUAGCUGGGACUACAGGUGCCCACCACCACGUCCAGCUAAUUUUUGUAUUUUUAGUAGAGACAGGAUUUCACCCUGUUGGCCAGGCUGGUCUCAAACUUCUGACCUCCAGUGAUCCGCCCACCUCGGCCUCCCAAAGUGCUGGGAUUACAAGUGUGAGCCACCACACUUGGCCUGGAUUUCCUUCCUUUUUAAAGCUGAAUAAUAUUUCACUGUAUGUAUAGACCUCAUUUAUCCGUUCAUCUGACAUGGACACUUGGGAUGUUAAAUGAUAUUUUUGAGUACAACAUGGGCAAGGUUAGGGGCUGAAAGAGUUAAGUGGGAUUCGAAACUAGAGCAGCAACAGGAACCAAGGCUCAGGAGGGCAUUUUUGGUGGCCCUGCCUGGGUGAAGGAAGGGGCAUGCAUUCCACUGAGGUUGGCACAGAAAAGCUAGGAGUGGAUUGGGAGGACAUAGGUAGGCUGUGGGUAAGGGCAUGGGACCCUGAGGCAGGUCCUGUCCCAGAGCCUUCGUUUUCUUGGCAGAUGCAGGAGGGAGGCUCGAUGGAAGAGAGGCCUGGUGGCAACAGGGCAGCUGCAGCAUGAAGAUCCAGGUUUGGGGUCCACGCAGGGACCAUGAGCAGCACCCUCUGCUGGAGCAACUGGGGGAGCUGAGAGUGCCUGCAGGUGGACACCUGGCCGCACUGCGCAUGACUUCCUCCUACAGCUCCCAGGGGCUCCCACUGUAUUCAUAGUUUCUCCUUUUGUUUGCCCUGUCCUCUGAGCUGUUAUUCAACAGCUAGAAUUGUGCAGCAUUAAAACCAGUGCCGCAGAGAACUUUAAACAGAGACAGAUCCAAAUACGUCCUUCCUGAGAGCCAAUCUCCCUGGGAGCACCUCAUUGCCUCUCUUCUGGAGCCCAGCAGCUUAGCCCAGCUUGCACCUGUGACAUAUGAGUUAACUACAGCUGGUAGCCCUUGUGGACCAGAGCACGACUUUGAGGAGACAGAUGAUGGUGGAUUGGGCAGGCUAUUGAGCAGCUCUGAGCCUCGGUGUCUCCAUCUACCAAGAGGAAAUGAUGAUGGAGCUGUGGGGACACACGUGAGAGCAACACAGAGCUGCUAGAGAAAUCAUCUUAAGAGGUAAAUUGGCUCAUGUCAGACCUACACAUAAAACUUCUCAAGCUUUCAAAGGUACCAUAAGGAAUGGCUUUAGAACCAGGCAGAAUUGUCGUGAGACCUGGCUCUGCUGCUGAAAAGCCAGAAAACGUUUGAAUGGGAAUGGGAGAGGAGAGCAGAAAUGGGAAGGAAAAAGAAGAUUCCAGAGCAGUAACGUAAUUAAACAUUCUCAAUCCACAAAUGACUGCAAAGCAGGUAACUCCAGGUCUGCUGGGAAGCCAAGCUUGGGAGGUAUUUGCACCGAUGAAGAACUCUUUUUUUUUUUUGGAGUUGAAGGCUUUUAUUUUAUUUUAUUUAUUAUUAUUAUACUUUAAGUUUUAGGGUACAUGUGCACAAUGUGCAGGUUAGUUACAUAUGUUUACAUGUGCCAUGCUGGUGCGCUGCAUCCAUUAACUCGUCAUUUAGCAUUAGGUAUAUCUCCCAAUGCUAUCCCUCCCCCCUCCCCCCACCCCACAACAGUCCCCAGAGUGUGAUGUUCCCCUUCCUGUGUCCAUGUGUUCUCAUUCUUGCAGCAUCUCAUUGUUGAAUGGAUGAAUGAAUGGUGAAUGGAUAAAAAAAAGGAUAGGGGCCUGAAGAGGGAGUUCAGAGACCAAGUUCUAGCUCUAGAGUGAAUAGGCAAAGCUUCUCUGAGAAGAUGAACAUGAACUUCACCUUGAAAGAUUUGAGAGGGCAGAGGGCAAAAGGGAGGACACUGUUGGCCCAGGAGAUCCUGAACAAGGCUGGUCUGUGUGGGGAACAUCUACUAGACAGCUGUGGAAUCACGGGCAAGUCUAUUUUUCUGGAAUUUUCUGGAACCAGCGGCAAAUUUAUCUUUAUGGAACUUAUUUCCUUGGGGAUAAUUAUUCCUCAAAUGGGGGUAAUUAUUUCUGCACUCCCCGGGGGGAGGGGGGUGUUGUGGGAUCCGAUGUGAUAGUGACUCUGUGCACUUGUGAGCAUUAAAAGCUUCAGGCAAGAAUAAGAUUCUUCAUGUCCUUCCGCUCUAGCUUGCUUUGUAACUUUCUGUGUGUUUUCCAGAUAACCAGAGUCCUGAUGAUUAACUGCCGUCAGUGGAACUGCCUGUUUUUCCUCAAGUGGAUCUUUCCUUCUAUGCAAAAGCAGUUGAAGUGGGUGUCUGUACGCUGCGUCCUAGCCCUGUGCCGAUUUCCUAUUGAGGUAUUUGGUGAUAUAAAUUUCCCUUUAAGGAUGGUGUCAGGGAAGGUAGUGGAGUAGGAUGUGCCAGGAAUCUGUCUCUCCAACUGGACAAUAGUACAGCAGAAACUGUAAGAGGUAAGUGUUUUUGGACCUCUAGGGUUUAUUUGAAUGUUUGCCACUUCUGGGUGAAGACCUGGGCUAGUAAAUUGCAGCAAUUUUGGUCACUUUUAACCAACAGUACAGUGGCAGCUACCUAUUCUCCUUCCACUCCCAACCCUGUGGCAGCUGCUGAGGAAUGGCAACUUGUGGUUUUGGUGCUGCUUGUGUUAUCCACAGUAGGUAAUAAGGACUUUGUUCCCCAAAUAUUGGGGUUUUGUUUUAUGGUUUUGAAUUGUUGCUCUAAUGGAUGAGGUAUGGGCAUGGAGGCUGGAUGCCAUUGUUCUAACCUCCAUGGGCUGAAGUGUUUUCCAGGAUAUUGAAAGGUCUGAGCCUGUUCUUUGGACAAUCAAAGGCAACUCUGCAUACGGAGAACGUUAGAAAGUAAUUGCUUAUGCCCAGAAAAAGGCACAGAUGCAGUAAAAACCUGAUGAAAGCUUAAGCUUUUACUUUAAGCUGACCCAGGCAUAGAGCCAUGCUACAACAAUCAGAAAAAGAGCAAAAUCUGAAGGAGAAGAAUCUAAUUUCCAUAGUUAUUACAUUAUAAGAUUCAAACUUGCAGUUUACACCAAAAAAAAAAAAAAUCACAAAGAAACAGGAAAGUAUGGUCCACUUAAGGGAAAAAGAUAAGUUGACAAAAAUGUACCUGAGGAAGCCCAGAUAUCAGACUUACUAGACAAAGACUUUAAAACAGCUGUCUUAAAAAUGCUCCAAGAGCUAGUGGAGGAUAUGGAAAGAGCUCUAGGCACAGAAUUUUUUAUGUUAUUGAAGUUAAAUUGGUCUAAAGUCCAAUUAGAUUGUUAUAACUUUAGGAUGUUAAAGGUGAGCCCCAUGGUAACCACAAAGAAAAUACUGAAAACCAAAACAUUUCACUACAAAAAAUUAAAUAAUCACAAGACAGUAAUAAAUGAAGAACAAAAAGCUAUAUGGCAAAUAGUAAACAUAUGGCAAAAUGGCAGAAGUUUCUCCUUAUCAGUAAUUAUUUUAAAAUGCAAACGGAUUAAACCCCCUAAUACAAAGACAAAGACUUGCACAAUGACCCCCCUCCCUCACAAAAAUGAGAUGAUCUAAUUAUAUUCUGUCUACAAGAGACUUACUUUACAUCCAAAUACACAAGUAUGUUGAAAAUGAAAUGAUAGAAAAAGAUAUUUCAUGCACAUAGUAACUAAAAGAGAGCUGAAGCAGCUACACUAAUAUUAGACAAAAUAGGCCUAACUUCAAAAAAGUUCAGAGGACAAAGAAGGAUAUUAUAUAUUAAUAAAAAA
Gorilla gorilla gorilla (western lowland gorilla) is the source of this 3815-nucleotide long non-coding RNA. RefSeq lists it as uncharacterized. The record is from RefSeq and is a predicted model, not a curated record. The transcript is spliced from 4 exons. Lineage: Eukaryota; Metazoa; Chordata; Mammalia; Primates; Hominidae.